CUUUUUCUUUUUCAUUGUUCAGUUAGCCUUCAACUUGGGGUCCAAACUCAGCCUUCAAAUAUAUUUUAGCUUGUCAAAUGUACUUUUAUCUAUAACUACAGAGAGAGAGAAGUGUAGCGACAAUAAGCACCAUUUUGCAGGUUUGCUGAGAUCAGAAUAAAUUAUGUUCACUUUUAGCUCAGCAAAUAAAGAAAGUUCGAACUUUCAAAACUUAGCAAUCAACAUGACUAUAAGAAUGUGCCUGAACCCAGACAUGAAACAUCUUGGCACGACAAAGAAGUUAUAUCGUGGCAUGCUCAUGAACACUGAAGUCUUUGUCCUAUGCAGAUGCUAUAUUAAUGGUGCUUGGGUGACCGCCGGUGGAUUUAUUAUGAUGGGGACCGGCACAGAAGCAGUUGAACAAGGACCAAUUCGAAACCUUAGGAACUAGUCCAAAUUCAAAUCUUUUUCACCUAAGUCUUGAUUGGUCGAUUCACUGAACCGAAACUGCAAGUUGAAUGAACAGAUCCAGUUUAGUGAACCGGACACUCCUAUUAUAACAGGUCAAGUUUCAAACUUUAAUAUUCUGUCUCCUUUAAGCAUCUUCAAACAGCAAUAUUAAGAAUGGAAGCAUAAAAAAUAGAAUAGUUGGGUUUUAGUGGGAAUCCUUAACUAUUUUGCAUCAAAGAGGAGAAAAUGAUCUAAUUUUAAGCAUGUUUAAUUGCGUGUAUUCAUAAAUUUUAGUAGAAUCAUUUAAUUUUCAACUUGUGUAAGUAAAAUCUCCCAACUAAGCUUUGGGUUCUUGCAUUUUUUGGGAAUCUCAACUACUUUUCUUCAACGUAAUGGAGUUUUAAAUGAGAAA
Long non-coding RNA from Jatropha curcas, 841 nucleotides. RefSeq lists it as uncharacterized. The record is from RefSeq and is a predicted model, not a curated record. NCBI's taxonomy places the organism in Eukaryota, Viridiplantae, Streptophyta, Magnoliopsida, Malpighiales, Euphorbiaceae.